RNAcentral lists this long non-coding RNA (1511 nucleotides) under Ananas comosus (pineapple). RNAcentral describes it as "long non-coding RNA (ACOM_LNC041143)". The record is from RNAcentral. Lineage: Eukaryota; Viridiplantae; Streptophyta; Magnoliopsida; Poales; Bromeliaceae.
AUUCAGUUGCUAUCUUUUUAAGAGGAUACAGAUCUUCGUCCUAUCAAAUUGUUUUUGAUAAUAGAGAUUUCGAAUCGACGAUUGUAAUCGUUGAAAUUGAUCUAGAGUAUUUGAAUUAUGUAAGAACUAAAUGUUAUAAAUUUUAAUAUUUAUUUACAUAGUGAUCAAAGGAUUACAAAAUCGAUAGUUUUUGAUGGCUAAUAUGAGCCGUUUUCUUGUUUAACGGUAUAAAGUAAUCCAAAUCGGUUGAAUUUUUGAUAAAAAUUUUUUUAUACUAUUUAGAUAAUAUUUAAUAAUUCUGAUCAUAAACUAACAUUUGUUUUCAGAAGGUCAUUUAUUUUUUGACCAUUCAUUUUUCGACUUUUCAAUGGACUUGAUAAUAGUUUUUAAAAAUUACAAAAUUCGGCUUCUAAAUAUUUCUAAUAGUAUAGAUCAAUUUCAACUGUACCGAUUAUCAAUUUGAAGUUCCGAUCAUCCCAAAUGAUUUAAUAGAACAAAGACUUCUAUCCUCUUAAGAGGAUAAUAGCCGGACUAUAUAUAUAUAUAUAUAUAUAUAUAUAUAUAUAGAGAGAGAGAGAGAGAGAGAGAGAGAGAGAGAGAGAGUCCGACUGGUAUACUAUUGAUAGCACGAAGCAUUUGGUGCUAUCAAGUUUUCUGCUAUUAGAUUUACCUCUUUUAUCAUUUUCAUCCGUUCGAUUAUACUAUUCAACUAACCACACUCAACCCUAAAGGGCCCAUAUUAUUUUAACCACAUAUUUUUUAAUCAAAUGGCAGAAAAUUUAAUAGCACCAUAUAUAUGUAUGUAUGGAACUAGGCUGGAAUACUAUUAAUAGCACCAAGCUAUUGGUACUAUCAGUUUUUUAGUCAUUGAAUUGAGAAAUGUAUGGUUAGGAUGAUGUGAGCCUCAUAAGAUUGAGUGAGUGGUUGGUUAAAUAGUAUAAUCUAACGAGUAAAAAUAAUCAAAGGGUUAAAUCUAACGGUGAAAAACUUGAUAGCACCAAGCCCUUGGUGCUAUCGAUAAUAUUCCAGCCAGACUCUAUAUGUAUAAAUGUAUAAUUAAUUAACUAAUUAAAAAAUUAAUUAUUAGUGUGUUUAGGCAAUACAAAUAUUUAUAUUAAUUAACCAAUUAAUAUCUUGACCAAUCUAACUAAUUAAAUAAUUAAUUUAUUAAUUUAUUAAUUUAUGAAAUUAUUUAUGAUUAGUUAAUUUAUUAAUUUAUUAAUUUAUUAAUUAACAGUGCUCAUGGUUAAUAAAUUAAUAAUUAAUUAAUAUUCAUGGUUAUCUAACAAUAUGUAUGGUUAAUUAAUUAAUUUAUUCAUUAGAUUAUUAUUUAAUUAAUAUUUUAAUGUUGAUUAAUUAGGCAAAAUAUUAUUAUUUUAAAAUUAUAAUUACUCUUAUUCUUGCUAUUCCUAUCUAAUUACUAUUUUUUUUAUUUUUUAAAAAUAGCCAAAUUUUCAUCCAAACACAAUAUUAGUCUAAUUCCUUCUUAUUUUAAGAAUUAGAUCUGCAUU